This 200-nucleotide ribosomal RNA is filed under the name uncultured bacterium. RNAcentral's name for it is "partial 16S ribosomal RNA". It matches the Rfam family "Bacterial small subunit ribosomal RNA", at positions 8 to 234 of the family's 1533-position model. The record is from RNAcentral.
AGAGUUUGAUCAUGGCUCAGAGCGAACGCUGGCGGCAUGCUUAACACAUGCAAGUCGCACGGGCACUUCGGUGUCAGUGGCGGACGGGUGAGUAACGCGUAGGUAUCUGUCCUGAGGUGGGGGAUAACGGUUGGAAACGACUGCUAAUACCGCAUGAUGACUGAGGUCCAAAGGCGCAAGUCGCCUUGGGAGGAGCCUGC